GUCCCAUUUAUCAUCUUCCGUCAGAGGUCUUCACCACUGCCAUAAUGGGAAUUUAUUGUAUGGCUUUGUGAGGACAGAGACGAGCUGGUUCCCGUUUUGCACAGCAAUGUGGUGAUGUGUAUCACAGACACUGCCGAGCGCCGAGGUUGGGAAUUUAUGCUGCGUUUCUGACUUUGUAUGGUCGGGAAGGAAACACUUUUCUUCAGCAUCUCCACAGAAGGCCUCCUUGGGGCUUGGUGCUCCCGUCUCAGCCUCCAAAGGUGGGCUCCAGUCUCCUGGGUCAGUUAGAAGGGCAACUUCAAGGACCAUCAGAUUUCACUCAAGAGUUGGUGGUAAGUGGAGUUGGUGGAGAAAGCAGAGGUUUACUAUGGACCAGAAGUUCAUGAUUCUAUACAAAUAUAGAGAAAGGUUCUCUUGGUGACAUUUUCUUUUCUGUCUGUAAAGAUAAUACAUUAUCAUUUUACAAGUUCAUAUAAUAG
Molecule: long non-coding RNA, 479 nt
Filed under: Bos indicus x Bos taurus (hybrid cattle)
Lineage: Eukaryota; Metazoa; Chordata; Mammalia; Artiodactyla; Bovidae
Description: lncRNA (ENSBIXG00000010942.1)
Source: RNAcentral